UGGGGAAUAUUGCACAAUGGGCGAAAGCCUGAUGCAGCGACGCCGCGUGAGGGAUGACGGCCUUCGGGUUGUAAAACCUCUUUCAGCAGGGAAGAAGCGAAAGUGACGGUACCUGCAGAAGAAGCGCCGGCUAACUACGUGCCAGCAGCCGCGGUAAUACGUAGGGCGCAAGCGUUGUCCGGAAUUAUUGGGCGUAAAGAGCUCGUAGGCGGUUAGUCGCGUCUGCUGUGAAAACUCGAGGCUCAACCUCGGGCUUGCAGUGGGUACGGGCUGACUAGAGUGCGGUAGGGGUGACUGGAAUUCCUGGUGUAGCGGUGGAAUGCGCAGAUAUCAGGAGGACACCGAUGGCGAAGGCAGGUCACUGGGCCGCAACUGACGCUGAGGAGCGAAAGCAUGGGG
Molecule: ribosomal RNA, 399 nt
Filed under: uncultured bacterium
Lineage: Bacteria
Description: partial 16S ribosomal RNA
Rfam family: Bacterial small subunit ribosomal RNA
Source: RNAcentral